UCUGUGAUUUUGAAUUGUUUUUGAAUAUGUAGGAGUUGCAUUGGGAGAUAGUUGGAUCUCACCAGAAGAUUUUGUGUUCUCAUGGGGUCCUCUUCUCAAAGAUGUGUCAAGACUUGACAGCAAUGGUGCCCAGAAAUCAAACAGUUUAGCUCAGCAAAUUAAGCAGCAAAUCGACAAUGGCCAAUUCGAAGACGCCACAAACUCAUGGAGUGCACUUGAGGAUGUGAUUAGCUCCAGCAGUAAUUCUGUCGAUUUCUAUAAUUUUUUGUUGGAUUCGGGGAUGGACCCAGUGUCAUUGACAGCUUCU
Molecule: non-coding RNA, 307 nt
Organism: Camellia sinensis
Lineage: Eukaryota; Viridiplantae; Streptophyta; Magnoliopsida; Ericales; Theaceae
Source: RefSeq, a predicted model, not a curated record